Cannabis sativa is the source of this 359-nucleotide long non-coding RNA. RefSeq lists it as uncharacterized. The transcript has 3 exons. Lineage: Eukaryota; Viridiplantae; Streptophyta; Magnoliopsida; Rosales; Cannabaceae. The record is from RefSeq and is a predicted model, not a curated record.
AGCAGGACAACCGUGGAGAAACUGAAUUUCAACAUUUGAUUUCGGUUUUUAUAGUGCAAUAUCACUCAAACGAUCGUCGAAAAUUCAGAUUGAAGCAAUGUAAAUCUGUAUUGAACAGAUCUGGAGCUCCCCCUCAAAUCCAAAAAAAAAGUUGCAUUAUCGUUUGAAAAUGGUUUCGAAAUCAUGAAGAAGUGUUAUAUGACAAGUACCAAGAGCUAGCAUAUGCACAAGGAAUUUAUUGUGGAAAAGAUAGAGUACAGAACAGUUUGAGAAAUGGUUAGUUUCCCAAAAUUUAAAUGAAGUUUCUUAAUAGUUUUAUUCUCGUUUCUUUGUAGUUUAUUAACUACCAAAAAAAUGGC